Molecule: ribosomal RNA, 332 nt
Filed under: uncultured bacterium
Lineage: Bacteria
Description: bacterial SSU rRNA
Rfam family: Bacterial small subunit ribosomal RNA
Source: RNAcentral
CGCGUAGGCGGUUUGCUAAGUUGGAUGUGAAAACUCUGGGCUUAACCCAGAGCCUGCAUCCAAAACUGGCAGGCUAGAGUUCUGGAGGGGAUAGCGGAAUUCCUGGUGUAGCGGUGAAAUGCGUAGAUAUCAGGAGGAACACCGGUGGCGAAGGCGGCUAUCUGGACAGAGUCUGACGCUGAGGCGCGAAAGCUAGGGGAGCAAACAGGAUUAGAUACCCUGGUAGUCCUAGCCCUAAACGAUGGAUACUUGCUGUGACUGGGAUUGAAUCCAGUCGUGGCGAAGCUAACGCAUUAAGUAUCCCGCCUGGGGAGUACGGUCGCAAGGCUGAA